Vulpes vulpes (red fox) is the source of this 108-nucleotide small nuclear RNA. The record is from Ensembl. Lineage: Eukaryota; Metazoa; Chordata; Mammalia; Carnivora; Canidae.
GUGCUUGCUUUGGCAGCACAUAUAUGAAAACUGGAAUGAUACAGAGAAAAUUAGCAUGGCCCCUAGCACAAGGAUGACAUGUAAAUUCAUGAAGUAUUCCAUAUAUUU